UACGAAGGGGGCGAGCGUUGUUCGGAAUUACUGGGCGUAAAGGGCGCGCAGGCGGCUCUGAAAGUCAGAUGUGAAAGCCUCGGGCUUAACCUGAGAACUGCAUUUGAUACUCUGGAGCUUGAGUACGGGAGAGGAUAGUGGAAUUCCCGGUGUAGAGGUGAAAUUCGUAGAUAUCGGGAGGAACACCAGUGGCGAAGGCGGCGACCUGGGCCAAUACUGACACUGAGGUGCGAAAGCGUGGGGAGCAAACAGG
Molecule: ribosomal RNA, 253 nt
Filed under: uncultured bacterium
Lineage: Bacteria
Description: partial 16S ribosomal RNA
Rfam family: Bacterial small subunit ribosomal RNA
Source: RNAcentral